Molecule: non-coding RNA, 1909 nt
Organism: Varroa destructor (honeybee mite)
Lineage: Eukaryota; Metazoa; Arthropoda; Arachnida; Mesostigmata; Varroidae
Source: RefSeq, a predicted model, not a curated record
UAGCGCGUAUACUCUUGACGAUAUCAUACGUGGCAUGCUUAAACAAGAUUAUUUUAUCAAAACACUUAGCUUAGAACUCAAGAGACUUAAAGGAGAUCUUGUAUGUGGAAUAGGAAACCCAGUGACCGUUAACAGGAAGUUACAUAUAACAAAGAUUAAAUUACAAGUACGUAAAAGGAUUGUUAUUGGUGCAGCCAAGGACGCGUACUGCGAAAUAUAUCGGCAGUGCUUACAUGGAAGAACCAUUACUUAAAAGACGUUAUCGACCGUUAGGAAAACCAGGAUUAGGAAGCGCUAUUGCACAUGCAGUUCCAGUGGUUGUAGGGGCAGCAGUUAAAAACCCUGGAUUCUUUCGAAAUUUUAUCUACGCGAAUCCACCGUUUGCGGGUCCAGCUAUUCGUGACGCUGUUAAUAUGGCAUUUAGGAGGCGUGUUCUUACAAGAGUUAGAGGCUCCCUUGAAAUCUACGAAUACUGGAAAGAUAUAAGACUUAACCGAAACACGGACCCAGAUAUGAACGUCCCGAAUGAAAACACUUUCGACACCUCCUUCACUUCGCGCUUCAUUGAGAUCAAGUUUUCCCCGAAGGAGUUAUAUAAGAAGGUGACAUUCUGGUGUCGCGUUUUCAUUUACAGUAUACCUGUACUCACACAACUGUGUGAUGUGCAUCACUGAAGUAGCCUUCAAUAACACAGUCCUACAUAUCUGAGUGCCGAAAGAAAACUACUGGAAUCAACUCCUACGCAAAAUUGGGAUCUUGCAGCAAAGGUUACAAGGAUUUCAGUCUUCACUUUUAAACUAAUGUUAUAAUUUUCCCUUGCUACGAGAGUUCCGGAAGUCAGAAACCGCUUAUUAGAAUUUGUUAAACUUCAUGUCAUCAAUUCACACCUCAAAUACUUUAGUUUAUGUUUUCCUCCUGUAAUACCUUUACAAUGGCUAGAACGAAGCGAAUCCAGAACGGGCUGGGUCUAUUGUACACAAGUGCGCAAGGAGAGAUUAUAGACUGGCCUGCUUAGCAGGUUUUCGACGACUUCAUUCGUUCGUCUUUGGUGCUUCAGAAGAAGAUGGCAAAUAACAUAUAAGCCAUAGACCAUCAUUACUACUUUCGCCUUGAGGCCUUCUCGUCUAUAAUGCCUCAUUGCGUUAAAAAUUAAAAUUGCACAGUCUACCGUCUGUGCUCGAUGCCCAAGAGGACUGGUCAAAGGUGGGUUGCUAAGUUUACAGUCGGCAGCUUGGACUUCGAGGACGCACUUUAUUCGAGUCAGCUAUGUCAAUAUACAGAGGACCGUCUAAAGAUGCCAUUGAAAGAAGAUAACUAACAAACGACUGAUAUGGAGCAAAUUAACUUUCUCGUACACUGCCAUGGCUAUAACCAGACGUAAUUUCGUUACUAGAAACACGCUAACCGCCAGAAGCACUCACCGGAAAUCCGGGCUUUCCUGGGGAACCAGCAGGUCCUGGUGCGCCAGGUUCUCCAUUACGUCCUCGCCGACCCCGUUUACCGGGCAGUCCUGCUGGGCAGGCACAAUCUUCGCGCACCAUACGAGGAUUCCGGCGCAAAACAUUCCAUACAGGAUGCGUUUCAGAUCCAAUUGUGGAACGCUGACAGCGCCGUUUGGUCUCAAAAAAAAGCUUGGAGCUAUGCCAUGACAGUUGCGGAACCUCCUCUUCUUCUAUGUUUUAAUGAAGUAAAGGUAUUAGUCCUUUGUAAUCGUGAAAUAAAAUAAUUUUAUGAUGCAAAUAUUAAUAAGCAAUGCUUCAUCCAGGCGGACGGUGGUUGGUAAUGGUUUAUUGUAAAAUGCAUUUUUAAUUACACUUGUAAUAAAAUUAUAAUUAAGGUUGGCCGAUCUGACCAACUCAAAGUGGUGUGUUUUUGUCUGAGUUGUGUACAUCUGUGUCCCCGUGACAUU